GAUGAACGCUAGCGGCAGGCCUAACACAUGCAAGUCGAACGGUAACAGGAAUUAGCUUGCUAAUUUGCUGACGAGUGGCGCACGGGUGCGUAACGCGUAUGCAACUUACCCCUAACAGGAGGAUAGCCUUUCGAAAGGAAGAAUAAUACUCCAUAAUAUUUAUAUGUGGCAUCACAUAUUUAUUAAAACUACGGUGGUUAGGGAUGGGCAUGCGUCCUAUUAGCUAGUUGGUGAGGUAACGGCUCACCAAGGCGAUGAUAGGUAGGGGGCCUGAGAGGGUUAUCCCCCACACUGGUACUGAGACACGGACCAGACUCCUACGGGAGGCAGCAGUGAGGAAUAUUGGUCAAUGGACGGAAGUCUGAACCAGCCAUGCCGCGUGCAGGAAGACUGCCCUAUGGGUUGUAAACUGCUUUUAUAUAGGAAUAAACCCCUCAACGAGUUGUGGGCUGAAUGUACUAUAAGAAUAAGCACCGGCUAACUCCGUGCCAGCCGCCGCGGUAACAC
RNAcentral lists this ribosomal RNA (507 nucleotides) under uncultured bacterium. RNAcentral's name for it is "bacterial SSU rRNA". It matches the Rfam family "Bacterial small subunit ribosomal RNA", at positions 28 to 526 of the family's 1533-position model. The record is from RNAcentral.